AAUAACCAAAUAUGAUACUCGGGCUAAGGGUCAAGUUGGUAAUUUUUCUUACACCUCCUCCUCCCGGAGCCCAAGUAUGAUAUU
RNAcentral lists this long non-coding RNA (84 nucleotides) under Nicotiana attenuata. Its description in RNAcentral is "lncRNA IsrR". It matches the Rfam family "Antisense RNA which regulates isiA expression", at positions 1 to 84 of the family's 187-position model. Lineage: Eukaryota; Viridiplantae; Streptophyta; Magnoliopsida; Solanales; Solanaceae. The record is from Rfam by way of RNAcentral.